AGCUGUUUAAAGAGCAAACCGCGCAUGAGUUAGGCCGCUUGGCCCUCCCAUUCAGACCCCUCAGGCCGCCUGUGGACAGCCUGGCUCACCCUCUAAGAGCCUUCCUGCCCGCCCUGGGAACACACACCGCAGGGUCCAGGGACUGGCGUCAGGAGCAGAGCGAACUCAGCGCCACCUGGGCUCCAGGCCAGGCUCUGCUCCAGGACUGGCCCCUCCCCGAUUCCCAUCCCUGAAGCCAGGGCCACUGGGGUUAUAGUGAACCGCUUCUGAGGACACGUGCAGCUAAGGGCCACUACCCCUAAAGAGGCAACACUUGUAAAGCAUCCAUGGAGUAAAACAAGUCUGCACAUCUCAACAACUCAAGGGCACUAAGCAAAGACCAUGGAGCUGCAGCAACAGGAUGCUAUUCAGACUGUUAUGUGAGCUCACUUCACCCACUCCAUUCCUACAGCUACAGAGUUCCCCGUGGAAGUCUCAGUUGCACACCAGAGAGGCAUCUGGGGGAAAAUGUUCCACCUGGUCUCAUUUCAACCCAUGGUAAGGAGUUUGGACCACGUGAAUUCCAGGUCUCACUCAGCUCUGAAAACAUACAAAAAUGGCAAAGGGCAACUAUCUCUACCACAUAAAGAAUACAUCCAAGUGCCUCAGGUCAACAUCAACAUCCCAAGAAGUAAAUGGACAGUUCACACAUACAAUUAGAAGAUGCUCU
This 709-nucleotide long non-coding RNA is filed under the name Homo sapiens (human). Its description in RNAcentral is "HSALNT0028317". Lineage: Eukaryota; Metazoa; Chordata; Mammalia; Primates; Hominidae. The record is from RNAcentral.